UUCAUGUCUUUGGAUCAUUCUCAGGAAUGUUUCCCUGACUAACACUAACGGCUCAUUGUUCGGAACAAAUAGCAAAAGUUAGAGGUUAAUAGUUAAGGACAUCACAAAAUCAGAUCUUGGUUUGUGGAAGGACUCGAAUCCACUACCUUAAACAUGACUGGUCGACCAAGGAGGCACCUCUUUGAACUUGAUGAAGGCUUACAAACAAAUUUCGAACAAAGCGUACAUGAGUCUGAAGAUUUAUGUUACAAAUAUGUAAUAUAAUAUAUUUCAAAGUCAUAUUAUUAUUGUAUAAGGGGAAUAAAUAUUUCUGUUACUAAAUAGUUAUUUAUAAUUAUAGUUAAAAGUAAUUUAUUUAUUACGCCCUUCUGUUCCAAAGGGCCGUAAGGCCUUAGACGCCCAGUUCCACUACAACGAACGAACGAACGAGCCCUUCUGUUCCAUAGUCAAAGAUUUUAAGCACUUGCCCAAUCUGACUUCCGGUCAGUAGCAUAUCAACCCAAUCAGACUGGAAUGAUCUGAUGACGUAUUAUAUGAGUAAUUCACUGUUCGGAAAAGAAUACAGUCACUCGAAAAAAUAUUUCUUCGAGUGACUGUAAGCAAAGAUCCUGUCCUUCACCCAAUCCAAGAACCCAAGAAAAGAAUAUUCGAAGUUAAGGAAUUUGGUGUUUCUUAGAUUUUAAGUUCUCCUCGUUCACCUGAAAACCUAGCAGCCCCUGUCUACUGAGUUUUGAAAACAGUACAUUUGUGACAUUGUCUGCAGCCAAAUCAUGGAAAACAGUGGAAGCUUCCGAUUGGGUGUUUGCGCUACCUGUGUUGCAGUUGGAGUUGUCAUAGUUACUGCGUUGCCUAUUAUUCCUGAAGGUGGUAUGAGGGAUGGUCUCAGUUCGCUUGCUGCCCUCAGUGUUUUCGGUGGACUCAUUGGUUGCGUUUUAUCUUCUCGUGGACCUCUUACUGCCGCAGUGGAUGCAAACAACAACUUGACGACUGGAUAAACUAAUAAAACUCCCAGUUGAUGGAUAAUUAUGGACAGAUUUUAUGAGAAAUGUUAAUGUUUUUGUAAAUUUUCUAUUUAAAGAGCUUUUGUUUAA
Molecule: long non-coding RNA, 1091 nt
Organism: Parasteatoda tepidariorum (common house spider)
Lineage: Eukaryota; Metazoa; Arthropoda; Arachnida; Araneae; Theridiidae
Source: RefSeq, a predicted model, not a curated record